This 368-nucleotide unclassified non-coding RNA is filed under the name soil metagenome. RNAcentral's name for it is "partial contains 5.8S ribosomal RNA, internal transcribed spacer 2, and large subunit ribosomal RNA". The stretch from base 1 to 120 matches the Rfam family "5.8S ribosomal RNA", at positions 35 to 154 of the family's 154-position model. The record is from RNAcentral.
GAUGAAGAACGUAGUGAAAUGCGAUAAGUAAUGUGAAUUGCAGAAUUCAGUGAACCAUCGAAUCUUUGAACGCACAUUGCGCCCGGCAGUAAUCUGCCGGGCAUGCCUGUCCGAGCGUCAUUUCUGUCCUCGAGCGAGUCCAGCAUCUAGGUGCUGGGCCCGCCCGGCGUUGGGGCACUACGGGAAGCCCUGUGCUGUCCCCCGUAGGCCCCGAAAUGAAGUGGCGGUCCUGCCGCGGCGCCCCCUGCGUAGUAUAACAGCUCGCUUCGGGACCCGGUGGAGGCCUGCCGUCAAACCUUACUCUCUAAGUUUGACCUCGGAUCAGGUAGGGUUACCCGCUGAACUUAAGCAUAUCAAUAAGCGGAGGA